AUUGAACGCUGGCGGCAGGCCUAACACAUGCAAGUCGAGCGGAUGAAGGGAGCUUUCUCCUGGAUUCAGUGGCGGACGGGUGAGUAAUGCCUAGGAAUCUGCCUGGUAGUGGGGGAUAACGUCCGGACACGGGCGCUAAUACCGCAUACGUCCUGAGGGUGAACGUGGGGGAUCUUCGGACAUCACGCUUUCAGAUGAGCCUAGGUCGGAUUAGCUAGUUGGUGAGGUAAAUGCCUACCAAGGCGACGAUCCAUAACUGGUCUGAGAGGAUGAUCAGUCACACUGGAACUGAGACACGGUCCAGACUCCUACGGGAGGCAGCAGUAGGGAAUAUUGGACAAUGGGCGAAAGCCUGAUCCAGCCAUGCCGCGUGUGUGAAGAAGGUCUUCGGAUUGUAAAACACUGUAAGUAGGGAAGAAGAGCAGUAAGUGAAUACCUUGCUGUUUUGACGGUACCAACAGAAUAAGCACCGGCUAACUUCGUG
RNAcentral lists this ribosomal RNA (484 nucleotides) under uncultured bacterium. Its description in RNAcentral is "partial 16S ribosomal RNA". It matches the Rfam family "Bacterial small subunit ribosomal RNA", at positions 30 to 507 of the family's 1533-position model. The record is from RNAcentral.